This 607-nucleotide ribosomal RNA is filed under the name uncultured cyanobacterium. RNAcentral's name for it is "partial 16S ribosomal RNA". It matches the Rfam family "Bacterial small subunit ribosomal RNA", at positions 149 to 790 of the family's 1533-position model. Lineage: Bacteria; Bacillati; Cyanobacteriota. The record is from RNAcentral.
GUUGGAACGACUGCUAAUACCCAAUGUGCCGAAGGGUGAAAGUUAUUUCGCCUGGAGAGGAGCUCGCGUCCGAUUAGCUAGUUGGUGGGGUAAAAGCCUACCAAGGCGUCGAUCGGUAGCUGGUCUGAGAGGAUGAGCAGCCACACUGGGACUGAGACACGGCCCANACUCCUACGGGAGGCAGCAGUGGGGAAUUUUCCGCAAUGGGCGAAAGCCUGACGGAGCAAUACCGCGUGAGGGAGGAAGGCUUUUGGGUUGUAAACCUCUUUUCUUAGGGAAGAAGAACUGACGGUACCUAAGGAAUCAGCAUCGGCUAACUCCGUGCCAGCAGCCGCGGUAAUACGGAGGAUGCAAGCGUUAUCCGGAAUUAUUGGGCGUAAAGCGUCCGCAGGUGGCUCAUCAAGUCUGCUGUCAAAGACCAGAGCUCAACUCUGGGCAGGCAGUGGAAACUGGAGAGCUAGAGUACGGUAGGGGUAGAGGGAAUUCCCAGUGUANCGGUGAAAUGCGUANAGAUUGNGAANAACACCNNUGGCGAANGCGCUCUACUGNACCGNNACUGNNNCUCNNGGACGANNGCUACGGGAGCGAAANGNAUUANAUANCCCUG